This 23-nucleotide microRNA is filed under the name Eptesicus fuscus (big brown bat). Its description in RNAcentral is "efu-miR-9319". The record is from miRBase by way of RNAcentral. Lineage: Eukaryota; Metazoa; Chordata; Mammalia; Chiroptera; Vespertilionidae.
AGCAGAGCUAGUGGCCUGAGGUC